GGAAUAUUGGACAAUGGGCGAAAGCCUGAUCCAGCCAUGCCGCGUGUGUGAAGAAGGUCUUCGGAUUGUAAAGCACUUUAUGUUGGGAGGAAGGGCAGUAAGUUAAUACCUUGCUGCUUUGACGUUACCGACAGAAUAAGAACCGGCUAACUCUGUGCCAGCAGCCGCGGUAAUACAGAGGGUGCAAGCGUUAAUCGGAAUUACUGGGCGUAAAGCGCGGGGAGGUGGUUCGUUAAGUUGGAUGGGAAAGCCCCGGGCUCAACCUGGGAACUGCAUCCAAAACUGGCGAGCUAGAGUAUGGUAGAGGGUGGUGGAACUUCCUGUGUAGCGGUGAAAUGCGUAGAUAUAGGAAGGAACACCAGUGGCGAAGGCGACCACCUGGACUGAUACUGACACUGAGGUGCGAAAGCGUGGGGAGCA
Molecule: ribosomal RNA, 420 nt
Filed under: uncultured bacterium
Lineage: Bacteria
Description: bacterial SSU rRNA
Rfam family: Bacterial small subunit ribosomal RNA
Source: RNAcentral